Long non-coding RNA from Leucoraja erinaceus (little skate), 1141 nucleotides. RefSeq lists it as uncharacterized. The record is from RefSeq and is a predicted model, not a curated record. Lineage: Eukaryota; Metazoa; Chordata; Chondrichthyes; Rajiformes; Rajidae. The transcript is spliced from 4 exons.
ACAGCACUUGCAGCACCAGAGACCCGGGUUCGAUCUCGACGCUGGGCGCUGUCUGUACGGAGUUUGUACGUUCGCCCCGUGACUGCGUAGGUUUUCUCCAAGAUCGUCAGUUUCCUCCCACACACCAAAGACAUACAGUUCCCAAAGGAUAUACGUGUCCAAAAUUUUAAUAACGGCCUUUAUCAGGAGAUUUCACCACUGAGGUCACUCUUCAGCAUAGAAGAACAUGUCACAGCAGCAACGUAAAGACAUACCAGGUUAUUCUCCAAGAUUGACCUAGUCCAGGGAUAUCACCGGAUCCUUGAGCGACCAGAAGAUGUCCCCAAGAUGAUUUAGUGAUUCAGAUGGGAUUCAGGCACAAUGAAUUCUUGCAUUUUCGGCUUCUAUCAGUUUUUGAAAGUGAUGUGACCAGACUAGACCAGACAGUGAGAGCAAUGAAAAACGCUGGCAUUCUGAAUCAGGCUUUCAAAAGGCUCUGUGGAAAUAAAAAUAAAUACACCAAACCCUAAAUAUUACGAGGUCAUUCCUGCUGAAGAUAUGUCCAAUGAGCACAUGUUCAUCUGCACUUAACAUUUCCUGGAUCUAUUGCUGCAAAUUAGCUUCCAAUUUGGAAUCAGAUCAGUUUAUUGUUUCAUGCAUCAGAACGCAAUAACAUUCAUAGUUAACCAUAUAACCAUAUAACAAUUACAGCACGGAAACAGGCCAUUUCGGCCCUACAAGUCCGUGCCAAACAACUUUUUUUCCCUUAGUCCCACCUGCCUGCAAUCAUACCACAACUUUCCAUUCCCUUCUCAUCCAUAUACCUAUCCAAUUUAUUUUUAAAUGAUACCAAUGAACCUGCCUCCACCACUUCCACUGGAAGCUCAUUCCACACAGCUACCACUCUCUGAGUAAAGAAGUUCCCCCUCAUAUUACCCCUAAACUUCCGUCCCUUAAUUCUGAAGUCAUGUCCUUUUGUUUGAAUCUUCCCUAUUCUCAAAGGGAAAAGUUUGUCCACAUCAACUCUGUCUAUCCCUCUCAUCAUUUUAAAGACCUCUGUCAAGUCCCCCCUUAACCUUCCGCGCUCCAGAGAAUAAAGACCUAACUUAUUCAACCUAUCUCUGUAACUUAGUUGUUGAAACCCAGGCAACAUUCUAGUAAA